UUACAAUAAGUGAGAAUGUUAUUCAGUAACACAGAAAUAAUUUGUUUCUUUGUUUUUUUUUUAAUUCCAGGGCUCACCUUCCAGAGGCAGCCAAUCUGGUGGACAGGGUGGAUGCUAUUGUCCUGGUGGGAGCCCGGGCUCUUCUGGAGGAAGCAACUACCAUGGUGGACAGGGUUCAUCUUAUUCUGGAAGCAGUCAGUAUGGAGGACAGGGAUCUUCUUACUCAGGAAGCAGCCAGUAUGGUGGGCAGGGCUCAUCAUAUUCUGGAGGCCGACAACAUGGUAAACCAGGAUCCUCAGGAAGCACUUAUUCUGGAAAGCAGCAACCACCUUCUUCAGGGGGUAGUCAAGUGAGCUCUGCUGGGAAACACUCCAGUCCCCAACUCCUGCUGUUGUUUAGCAUUUUGAGUGCCUUCGUACUCUCUGCUGUUACAUCAAAAUGGUCUAUGUGAACAUCAGAAGAUGUGCUCGGCAUCCUAGACGUGGAUUAUACGCAGUAAUAUUAGAUUAAUUAAUAUCAGGAAGAAAAAAAAACAACACCACCAUAAAACUGUCAGAUGUUACUUGGGCUAUCAUGUUCCAUGUCUGGUUACUAUGUCAUGUCUUUCAUUAGUUUCUUUGGGUUUAGUCAUUAGUAGAUAUCAUUACUUUUGUCAGUGUUCUAGGCACCAUUUUAAGAGAGUGUAUUGUACCCUAGCUUUAUGAUUUCAUUAAAUUAUUUUUAUGUCCAGUGGAAAACAUGAUGAACACCUGAAAACUGAUUGGUGUGAGAAACAAAUGCUUAUAAAAUACCUGGUUAGUAACCAACGCAGAAUGUCAGACAAAUGGUUUUAUUUGCAAAACUUUAUUUGAGCACUGUCACUGCCCCUCACUGCAUACAAUAAAGAUGACCUCUAACUUCUUGUGAGCGAUCCU
Molecule: long non-coding RNA, 914 nt
Filed under: Phasianus colchicus (ring-necked pheasant)
Lineage: Eukaryota; Metazoa; Chordata; Aves; Galliformes; Phasianidae
Description: lncRNA (ENSPCLG00000022341.1)
Source: RNAcentral